This 97-nucleotide ribosomal RNA is filed under the name Escherichia coli 3-373-03_S3_C2. Lineage: Bacteria; Pseudomonadati; Pseudomonadota; Gammaproteobacteria; Enterobacterales; Enterobacteriaceae. The record is from RNAcentral.
GGCGGCCGUAGCGCGGUGGUCCCACCUGACCCCAUGCCGAACUCAGAAGUGAAACGCCGUAGCGCCGAUGGUAGUGUGGGGUCUCCCCAUGCGAGAG